RNAcentral lists this unclassified non-coding RNA (454 nucleotides) under Hevea brasiliensis (rubber tree). The record is from RNAcentral. Lineage: Eukaryota; Viridiplantae; Streptophyta; Magnoliopsida; Malpighiales; Euphorbiaceae.
UGUGAGGGUGAGCUGAGCUCCCCAAACUGAGAUAUUUUGUGUUUACAGGUCAUAUGAGCUAAAAACUCUCCGUUGGAUAGUCCAAUUUAUGGUUGGACUCUGUUCGUUUUUUUUCCUUAAAAUUAGACUACAAUUAUGGGCCUUAUAGUUGGGCUAAGAAUAAUUAAGCUUACUACGGGCUUUAGGCCUUAUGUUGACUCAAAUCCUAGUGCCGGUCCGGCCCAGAAUUUGGAUCGUGAGAUGUUACAUUCUCAUAACCUUCAAAUUGUAACUCGAUUUGAAAAUCAUGUGAUGGGAUUCAAAAUGAAUAUUUAUGAGGUUUGUAGUUAUAAUAGGGGUUCUAUGACUAUACAAAUAGUGAAAUAAGGGAACAAAAAUAGAAGACCAAUCAUUUUUGUGGUUCCUUGUUAGAUAAUAUUAAAUCUAAUAGGGACGAAAUAUUUUAUGAUUCCUA